Long non-coding RNA from Zophobas morio, 2485 nucleotides. RefSeq lists it as uncharacterized. The record is from RefSeq and is a predicted model, not a curated record. NCBI's taxonomy places the organism in Eukaryota, Metazoa, Arthropoda, Insecta, Coleoptera, Tenebrionidae. The transcript has 2 exons.
GAAAAUUGUUUCAGAUAAAUCAAAAAAUUAUUAAAUACUAUUGUUUUUAAGAAAGCUUGCCUGAACUUUAGAUAAAUCUCAGCGGUUGUAAUAAUUUUCUCAAAAUAUCAUGAGUCAAAACUUAAUAAAAAAACUGAUUUCUAACUCAAAAAAUGAAGACGGCCGCAAAGAAAAUCUCAACAUCCUCAACGGCUAUAUUACGAACUCUAUAUUGAUUCAUGACUAUCUAAACGUAUGUUACAAAGGAGAACACACAGCUGACGCAGAAUGGUUAAUUAAACACAAAAUAGAUAUUACCAAAGUUUGUGUCGAAACAAUUGACAAAAAAGAUGUAAAAAAAAUUGUGACACCUUUAGAAAGGUCCUGCGAGCGACAGUAUGUGGAAACUAUCAACCCAUUAAUAACAAAUUUGGAGAAACAAACUUUAGAAGACAGAAAUAAAAUACUGUGUUCAUCGCUAAGCAUCACAAUAAAACGUUUAGGUGACGAUGAAGCAACCUAUAAAAAAUCUAAUGAAGAACCUGACGAAAAAUUUGAUGAAGAAUCUAAUGAAUAUAUAGAAUGUUACAAACUGGUAUUACAAGCUGUCAAAAGGAUGAAAGAUUUGGACACUGAACAAUAUGAAGAUAUUUUCCAACAAACACCUCUGUUUUACGCCAACUACUAUAAUCACCCGAAGAUUGCAGUGGAAAUUCUUGAAACAGUAUGUUUGAUAAAUGACCGUAGCGGUGUUAGUCCUAUCUAUCAAAUAGAUACAAAGACAUUAGAAGAACACCUAGACCGGUGCAUAACUACAGAAAAAGGUCCAUCCGACAAUCCGGGAACACAUAUCAAGUUUAACUUUGAAACAUUACUAUGUAGAGAAAGACAUAAACAUGAGACCAGCAAAGCUCACAAUGAAACAGAAGUUUUGUUCAAAAUUCGUAAUUCAAACAAAUUUGAUAAUCUCCUUUUGCAUCCUGUUAUCGUAGCAUUUUUGUUAAUGAAGUGGAAAGGUACAAAAUUGUAUGAGAUUUUUUACUGGUUUCGUUUAUUUUUUUGGGGUUUUAAUACAAUACUGUUUAUGGUUUAUACAAAUGUCUUACCAUAUUAUUUUUGUUUGAAUAAUACAAAUAUCUUACCAUAUUAUUUUUGUUUGACUAUGCACAUUAUUUAUCUUAUAUAUGUAGUCGUUGAAACAAUAAUAACGAAAGACUUUUCUCGAAGCACAUGUGUACGUACUAUUAUUUUGAUUUUAAUGUUGAUUUUAAUAUUGAUUUUACUAUUUCAUGCAAACACAUGGUCCAAAUUGAUAGCAUGUUUAACUAUAGCCUUGUCGUGCUUUGAAAUGCUUCUGCUUUUUAGUGUGCGCUCUAUAUAUGGAGAAAUGGUUAAAGUGGUAUUUGUUAACAUAAUGAAACUACUAUUUUGGUAUUCUUUUAUAGUAUUGCUACCCCUUAUAGUUAUUUACAAUACAAUUUUUGAUAAUUCCGUAACAAAAAAAUGGCCGAAAUCGAUCGUAAAUAUUUUUUCACUUCUUCUUGGCAACACAGACUCUGACUCUUUGUCUGAUUUACCAACAGAUGCAUUCAUCUACCUACUUUUAAUCAUUAUACUAUCAAUAUCACUUUCUAAUGUAAUUAAUGGAAAAGCUGUGAAUGACAUACAGAAUUUGGAACAACAAUCGGAUGUUCUUCGUCAAAAAGCAAAAAUUCAAUUUAUGUAUCGUACUGACAAGAUUGUAAAUCUUAUACCAGGAAAAAAAAAUAUCAACAGUACACCAAGUUUGGUGUCAGGACUCAUCAAUCCUCGUAUAAUCUCAGACCGCACAAAUUAUAGUGGUAAAAGCAGCAAGAAGAUUAUAUUUUUUGACGAGCAAAUCAUCGAAUGUCUUAACCUUCAUUUUAAAAAAAAGGACAACCCAAUUUUUGUUUUUUCAGGUAAUUUGGAAAUUGAUGUUACAAAAGAUAAUAACGACAAAUCAUCAGUUUAAUAAUUCCUCAUAUUAUACUUGAUUCAUUUAACAAUUAUCAUAAUUUCAUGUUUUUUAUUAUUUUUAAUUAAUAUUGUUCGCUUAUUGUUAUUUGACUAAUUGGGUACUUUGUAAAACUUACAUUUUAAUUUCAUUUUAAGUAUGUAUCGUUAUGCCUCCAUCUGGUAUAUUUUCUUUUGUAUUCUCAUUUUCUGUAAUAUCAUAAAUGCAUUAUUUAAGACCCACCACUGACCCGGAAAUGACCGGCAUUCAGGCAAGACUUCUAUCAAUACGGGUACUAAGACCAAAUAAUGAUAUUAUUAUUAUUUUUAUUACUGUUAUUAUGUAUCUCUAUUAUUGAGACAAUUUUAUUUCAUAGUUCAUUUAAAGAUAAUAUUAUAAUUUUAAACAAAAUUGUCUAAAAUAAACAACAUCUUCAAGUAACUACCUCUUAGCUAUUAGUCACGAUUUGUUGUAUUUGUUGUGAAGUUUUUGUAAUCAAGUCUUAUUGAUAAUAAAAAUCUUAAUUGUAAA